Molecule: long non-coding RNA, 525 nt
Organism: Pyrus x bretschneideri (Chinese white pear)
Lineage: Eukaryota; Viridiplantae; Streptophyta; Magnoliopsida; Rosales; Rosaceae
Exons: 2
Source: RefSeq, a predicted model, not a curated record
GUGGGUUGGGUGCAGGAAUUGGGGUAGAUGGGACUUCACAGCAUGAUUUGGGGGAGAGAAAGAGAGGGGGUUGGGUGCAUGAUUUGAGGGUAGGUUGAGGGAAUGGGUUUCUGGAUUGCACUUUCUUCUCUGUUUCUUUUUUCCUUCGAGCAUCCGACAAUACUGAUAUAACAUCGGGUGUAAUGUUUUCCUCUUUUCGUUUUCUUUUUCCCAAUUUGUUGAAUUUGUAUUUUAUUGUUUGCAUAUUACCCUUUGACGGCAAGGUAGCGAUUGUGAUGGCUUCCACUCAGGGCAUCGACUCUUAAAGGUGCCUCCGUCGUCAUCUCUUCUCGCAAGCAGAUCACAAUACAACUAGCUUCCCGUCGAAAAACGCCCUGCCCUCACUUUCUUGAUUAUCGGUUGGAAAUGUAAAAAUGGAUGAGCUGAGAAAAAAAGAGAGGUUAGUUUUCUGCAUUUGCAUCUCUCUGAUUUUUUCUUGUGCUGAGUCCUUAACACUAUUUCUGUUAUCGAAGUAACUGUUUACAA